Molecule: ribosomal RNA, 497 nt
Filed under: uncultured bacterium
Lineage: Bacteria
Description: partial 16S ribosomal RNA
Rfam family: Bacterial small subunit ribosomal RNA
Source: RNAcentral
GAUGAACGCUGGCGGCGUGCCUAAUACAUGCAAGUCGAGCGAACAGAUGAGGAGUUUGCUGUUGUGACGUUAGCGGCGGACGGGUGAGUAACACGUAAAUAACCUACCUCUAAGACUUGGGUAACGGCGGGAAACCGGAACUAAUACCGUGUGAUAUAUCGGACUGGAUGGUUCAAGAGUGGAAGACGGUUUUGCUGUUACGUAUAGAUGGAUCCGCGCCGCAUUAGCUAGUUGGUAAGGUAACGGCUUAGCAAGGCAACGAUGGGUAGCCGACGUGAGAGAGUGAUAGCCCACACUGGAACUGAGACACGCACACGACGACUACGGCAGGGAGCAGUAGGGAAUCUUCCGCAAUGGGCGAAAGCCUUACGGAGCAGCGGAGCGUGUGUGAUGACAGUGUUCGGAUCGUGAUGCUCUGUUAUUAGGGAAGAACAAAUGUGUACGUAAAUAUGCACAUAUUGACGGUACCUGAUCAGAAAGCCACGGCUAACUACGUG